This 971-nucleotide long non-coding RNA is filed under the name Gossypium barbadense (sea-island cotton). RNAcentral's name for it is "long non-coding RNA (GBAR_LNC015404)". The record is from RNAcentral. Lineage: Eukaryota; Viridiplantae; Streptophyta; Magnoliopsida; Malvales; Malvaceae.
AAACAAUAAAGUAAAUAAAAGAAAGUAAAGAAAUAAAAAGAAAAGAAAAGAAACAGAAUAGAAAGAACAAAGAAACAGAGAAGCAAAAGAAACGAGGGAAGAAAGAAGAAAAAAAGAAAGAAAAAGGGGAAAAUAGAUUUUUAAAGCUUAGAGUUAAUUUGGUAAGUCAAUUAAGCCCUUUUUAUUUAGUUUUGAUGAUUUAGAAGUUUUAAAACAAAGUUUUGAUGAAAUUAAGUUGAUAUUUUGGAAGUUUAUAGUUGUUUUUAAGCAUGAUUCAUGUUGAAUAAAUUGUUGAAUUAGGGAUUUAAUUGAAUAAAUUUCAAGUUAGAAUUGAUAAAAGGAUUAAAUUGUAAAAGAAACUAUAAGUUUUAUGUGUUAGGGACUAAAAUUAGAGAAAUUUGAAAUUAGGAAAAUAUGCUGAAAUUUUAAUAGUUAAAUUUGAGUUUGGAUGAAAUUUGAAUAAAAAUAGAGUGUGAAUUGAAUUAGGAAAGUAAGUGAAUUUAGUUAGGAUUAAAUUGAGAAUAAGGAAGAAAUUGAAUAGAAAUUCAAUUAUUUAUUAUAAUUAGUGCUGUAAUUAAUAGUAUAAAUUACUAUUAUUUUCGUAGCUAACAAAGAACCCGAGGCAUCGGCAUCAAAAGGAAAAGGGAAAGCUAUCGAGGACUAAAGCAGGAGAUUUACGGUUUGUAUUACUAUAAUUCAAAUUAUUUAUUUUUAAAUGUUAAAUUUUAAUUUAUGUGUUUAGUAAAGGAAAUGUGAGGUAAGUAUUAAUAUUAGUAUUAGUAAUAGUAUUAUUAUUAUUAAGAUGAGUGGGAAUUAAUUUGAAUAGUUGAUAUGAAUUAAUAUUUGAAUUGUUUGUUGAUUGAAAGUGGGAAGUGAAUUUAAAUCGAAUAGUGACCGAUAUUAAAUUGAAUGGAAAUGUAUUGAGUUGUGAAAAUGUGUGAAUUGCGGAUUAAUUAUUGAUUGAAAGGUGG